UACGUAGGGGGCGAGCGUUGUCCGGAAUCAUUGGGCGUAAAGCGCGUGUAGGCGGCUUCGUAAGUCCGUUGUGAAAGUCCAGGGCUCAACCCUGGAAUGCCGAUGGAUACUGUGGAGCUAGAGUCCGGAAGAGGCGAGUGGAAUUCCUGGUGUAGCGGUGAAAUGCGCAGAUAUCAGGAGGAACACCAAUGGCGAAGGCAGCUCGCUGGGACGGUACUGACGCUGAGACGCGAAAGCGUGGGGAGCAAACAGG
RNAcentral lists this ribosomal RNA (253 nucleotides) under uncultured bacterium. Its description in RNAcentral is "partial 16S ribosomal RNA". It matches the Rfam family "Bacterial small subunit ribosomal RNA", at positions 524 to 776 of the family's 1533-position model. The record is from RNAcentral.